Molecule: ribosomal RNA, 254 nt
Filed under: uncultured bacterium
Lineage: Bacteria
Description: partial 16S ribosomal RNA
Rfam family: Bacterial small subunit ribosomal RNA
Source: RNAcentral
UACGUAGGGGCCUAGCGUUGUCCGGAUUUAUUGGGCGUAAAGAGCUCGUAGGCGGCUUGGUUAGUCAGGUGUGAAAUCUCCACGCUCAACGUGGAGGGGCCACCUGAUACUGCCAUGGCUUGAGUCCGGUAGGGGAGUGUGGAAUUCCCGGUGUAGCGGUGAAAUGCGCAGAUAUCGGGAGGAACACCCGUAGCGAAGGCGGUUCUCUGGGCCUUACCUGACGCUGAGGAGCGAAAGCGUGGGGAGCGAACAGG